This 1433-nucleotide ribosomal RNA is filed under the name uncultured Alphaproteobacteria bacterium. RNAcentral's name for it is "bacterial SSU rRNA". It matches the Rfam family "Bacterial small subunit ribosomal RNA". Lineage: Bacteria; Pseudomonadati; Pseudomonadota; Alphaproteobacteria. The record is from RNAcentral.
AGAGUUUGAUCAUGGCUCAGAACGUACGCUGGCGGCACGCCUAACACAUGCAAGUCGAACGAAGUAGCAAUACUUAGUGGCAGACGGGUGAGUAACAUGUGGGUAUCUGCCCUUUGGCCUGGAAUAACACGAGGAAACUUGUGCUAAUACCGGAUAAGUCUUUACGGAGAAAGCUUUAUGCACCAUUGGAUGAGCCCGCACUUGAUUAGUUUGUUGGUGGGGUAAUGGCCUACCAAGACUGUGAUCAAUAGCUGAUUUGAGAGGAUGAUCAGCCACAUUGGGACUGAGACACGGCCCAAACUCCUACGGGAGGCAGCAGUGGGGAAUCUUGCACAAUGGAGGAAACUCUGAUGCAGCGAUGCCGCGUGAGUGAAGAAGGCCUUUGGGUUGUAAAGCUCUUUCGUCGGGGAAGAAAAUGACUGUACCCGAAUAAGAAGGUCCGGCUAACUUCGUGCCAGCAGCCGCGGUAAUACGAAGGGACCUAGCGUAGUUCGGAAUUACUGGGCUUAAAGAGUUCGUAGGUGGUUGAAAAAGUUGGUGGUGAAAUCCCAGAGCUUAACCCUGGAACUGCCAUCAAAACUUUUCAGCUAGAGUAUGAUAGAGGAAAGCAGAAUUUCUAGUGUAGAGGUGAAAUUCGUAGAUAUUAGAAAGAAUACCAAUUGCGAAGGCAGCUUUCUGGAUCAUUACUGACACUGAGGAACGAAAGCAUGGGUAGCGAAGAGGAUUAGAUACCCUCGUAGUCCAUGCCGUAAACGAUGUGUGUUAGACGUUGGAAAUUUAUUUUCAGUGUCGCAGCGAAAGCGAUAAACACACCGCCUGGGGAGUACGACCGCAAGGUUAAAACUCAAAUGAAUUGACGGGGACCCGCACAAGUAGUGGAGCAUGUGGUUUAAUUCGAAGAUACGCGCAGAACCUUACCAACACUUGACAUGUUCGUCGCGACUUUAAGAGAUUAAAGUUUUCGGUUCGGCCGGACGAAACACAGGUGCUGCAUGGCUGUCGUCAGCUCGUGUCGUGAGAUGUUGGGUUAAGUCCCGCAACGAGCGCAACCCUCACUUUUAGUUGCCAUCAUUAAGUUGGGCACUCUGAAAGAACUGCCAGUGAUAAGCUGGAGGAAGGUGGGGAUGACGUCAAGUCCUCAUGGCCCUUACGUGUUGGGCUACACACGUGCUACAAUGGUAUCUACAACAGGAAGCAAGACUGCGAAGUUAAGCAAAUCCUUAAAAGAUACCUCAGUUCGGAUUGCACUCUGCAACUCGAGUGCAUGAAGCUGGAAUUACUAGUAAUCGUGGAUCAGCGUGCCACGGUGAAUGCGUUCCCGGGUCUUGUACACACCGCCCGUCACACCAUGGGAGUUGGUUCUACCUUAAGGCAAGGUUUCAAACCCUUGACCACGGUAUAGUCAGCGACUGGGGUGAAGUCGUAACAAGGUA